GCCACUGCUAUUGGGGUUCGGCUAAGCCAUGCGAGUGGAGGGCGUCCCGCAAGGGAUGGCCCCGCAGACGGCUCAGUAACACGUCGUCAACCCACCUUAGGGUGGGGGACAACCUCGGGAAACUGAGGAUAAUCCCCCAUAGGCGGGGGAGGCUAGAAUGCGUCCCCGCUGAAAGCUCAGGCGCCCUAGGACGGGACGGCGGCCUAUCAGGUAGUUGGUGGUGUGACG
RNAcentral lists this ribosomal RNA (228 nucleotides) under uncultured archaeon. RNAcentral's name for it is "partial 16S ribosomal RNA". It matches the Rfam family "Archaeal small subunit ribosomal RNA", at positions 23 to 246 of the family's 1478-position model. The record is from RNAcentral.